AUGGCCUCUCUGUGGAGACCUGGCCCUCCCCCCACAGAAUCUAGGAUGGGGGCCCUGGCAUGACUGGCCUCCAGGCCCUCAGGGAACAUCUAGCCUGUCCCAUUUUACAGCUGGGACAUUGGGGCGGAGAGAUGGCCUGGGUGAUUCCAAGGUUGCACGGGCCUCCUAAGCCCCUGGGUUGUGCUUCCUGGGCUCAGCUGUGUGGCCAGCAGCCAUGGUGCACCUGAGGACAUUACAGACAGGACCUGGAGAACAGGCCAGCUGCUCAGAGCCAGGAGACAGAGGAAAACAAUGGGAGAACUGGGGAGUGGACACCUGCCCCCACUUUCUCAGAUAGUGCUCAGGAUACCACCCUGCUCUGUUCCCUGCCACUUCUCUCCUUACGGAUGAACUCAGGCCCAUGCGUCUGAUGGAAGUGAUGUGAUGUGACAUCUGAGGCUGGGCCAGAAAAGGCCGCACUGAGCAUGCCCAGCUCCUGCACAGCCUCUGCCACUUCUCUGGGGAAUUUCCUCUUUGGAACCCAGCACCAGGGUGUGAGGAAGCCCAAACCAGGCAGGCCACGCAGACAGCCCUGCCCAGGUCCCAGAAGCCCGGGGCGUGGAGGAAUUUUUCACUGAUUACCAGCCCCAGCAGAUCCCACAGGCCAAGCCACAUGACAAGCGGUCCACUUAGCCUGUGGGAGAGAGGAAUAAAGUGAUGU
This is a long non-coding RNA of Talpa occidentalis (Iberian mole), 700 nucleotides long. RefSeq lists it as uncharacterized. The record is from RefSeq and is a predicted model, not a curated record. Lineage: Eukaryota; Metazoa; Chordata; Mammalia; Eulipotyphla; Talpidae. The transcript has 3 exons.